This 24-nucleotide non-coding RNA is filed under the name Arabidopsis thaliana (thale cress). Lineage: Eukaryota; Viridiplantae; Streptophyta; Magnoliopsida; Brassicales; Brassicaceae. The record is from RNAcentral.
UCUAAGUGUACGAAUCAAACAGUG